GGUCAAGUGAAGAAGCGCAUACGGUGGAUGCCUUGGCAGUCAGAGGCGAUGAAAGACGUGGUAGCCUGCGAAAAGCUUCGGGGAGUCGGCAAACAGACUUUGAUCCGGAGAUCUCUGAAUGGGGGAACCCACCUAGGAUAACCUAGGUAUCUUGUACUGAAUCCAUAGGUGCAAGAGGCGAACCAGGGGAACUGAAACAUCUAAGUACCCUGAG
This 214-nucleotide ribosomal RNA is filed under the name Pseudomonas aeruginosa. Its description in RNAcentral is "partial 23S ribosomal RNA". It matches the Rfam family "Bacterial large subunit ribosomal RNA", at positions 1 to 215 of the family's 2925-position model. Lineage: Bacteria; Pseudomonadati; Pseudomonadota; Gammaproteobacteria; Pseudomonadales; Pseudomonadaceae. The record is from RNAcentral.